GUGCGUUGCCUUCAGCAGCACAUAAACUAAAAUUGGAAUGAUGCAGAGAUUAUCAUGGCCUCUGUGAGAGAAUGACAUGCAAAUUCAUGAUGAGUUGUGUAUUUUG
Molecule: small nuclear RNA, 106 nt
Organism: Phodopus roborovskii (desert hamster)
Lineage: Eukaryota; Metazoa; Chordata; Mammalia; Rodentia; Cricetidae
Source: RefSeq, a predicted model, not a curated record